CCUAUGGACUACACACACACACACACACUCAUAUGUCCAGCUGUCUGUCCACCCAACUAACAAAAAAAACAAAUACAAAUACAAAUACAGAAAAAACGCAAAUACAAACACAAAACACAAAUACAAAUACAAAUACAAAGACAAGCCAGCAAAGAGCUAACCAGCGUACCAGGCCUCGACUACGGCUACGGCUACGACUACGGCCAUGGUCUCAGUCUUGUCCGCCGUACAACAGCUGGUUCAUUGUAUUGCAGUUAUUGUAUUUGAAUUGGACAACUAAUGUAAAUAAUACAUCACAUACCGUACGUGUCCCGGGAUUAUGUUGAAGUUUCAGUUUAACAGAUUUCGUAUUUAUUUGGCUUUUUAUUAACUUGACCAGCUCUGCAGGAGCGACUGAGCGAGGGAGAGAGAGAGAGACAGAGAGGGAGUGCUAGAACGAGAGGGAGAGAGAGAGAGACAGAGAGGGAGUGCUAGAACGAGAGGGAGACAUGCAACUGCGAAUUAAUUGGAUUUAUUUGAAUAUCAUGUUCGAUUUUUAUGUUGAGCGUAAGUCGAUUAUUACCUCUGUAUAUCGAUUGUUACUGUAAUGUAACCUCUAUGUUAACCUUUAUGUUAAGAUCGCUUCGGCUAAAAUACGCCGAGCAUUCUUAUGCCCUUGCAGUGAAUUGGGCAAACAUAAGGAAGUCCACCACACUGGGGUAUGCCCGAAUCGAGAAAUGAAGCUUUCAGCACGUGCUUAAUGCUGCCAGCGAGUGCACUGUUAAAGUCCGUGACGACUUAUCGAUGUUAUCGAUUCAUAGAAAAACGCAACUAUAUAAUUUAAAUUCUGUAAAUUCUAUAAAUUAUGCAAAAUAGACAAUGGGAGUUAUUUUCAGUUUCAUAUACUGACCUGACACGUGUAUAUUGUAUGAAUGGCGCUCUAUUACAUACCUCUAUCAAUAUUCGCCAUAUCAAUGCUCUCUCUAAAAACCUUUUCUUUUAGUUUUAUUAGCAUAGUUAAAGACACCGCCAAAUAUCAACUUGCAACUGAUUAUACUGCGAUCAGCACAGCCAAAUCUCUCAGUCGUAUCAUAGACAGUCUAAAAGCCGAGGAAACUGUGCCUGGCAGACCAUCCUCUAUGUUCUAUCAUCCUAAUCGGACUACGCUAUGGAGGCCCUUCCUUAAUUAGGCACUCUACUAUGCUCUGCCAUACCAUUUCAAGUUGUCUGGCGACAGCACAUAUACUCCUUUCGGCCAGUGGGCGGGUAUGCCAGAGUAAUCCCAUUCAGCACUGAUGCCAGGACUCGAUGGAUGAUAAGUACUUCGGUCUAUCCAUAUUCAGGCAUUAGAACUAAUCGACUUUCUAAUUGGAGUCCUGCGCUCGAUUUGGCCAAAUCCUUUAUAAUGUUGGAACGCCCCUAUGACCAUUUCGACUAAUCCGAUGUUUAUUUGGCCAUUGAUUAAUGUGCGGUGCCAGGGCGUCCGCAAAGGUCGUUGCCAGAAGUCUUCAAUCAUAGUUUGCUUGCUGUGUGUUGCCUUGCUGCUCGUUUCGGCUCUGCAUCAUCUUCAUAUAUUUCUUAUGCUUCUCAUUUUUUUUUUUUUUUUUUUUUUUUUUUUGCCCUUGUGUGGAUGAAAAUACUUCUGGGCUGUUAAGGGUUUAUUUAUGCAUAAAAUUUAUAGCAUAUAGCACGAGCAUAUUUGUGUCAUUAGCCGCAAAUUUUUGACCCAUUUGUCAUUAGGCUCGACUGUGGGGGAUUUGCAUAAAACAAACACACGAUUGCCUAGAACACACACACACACACACAUAUGAGAGCGUUGUAUGCGUGUGUGCGUGUGUGUUUGCUGUGCUGCUAAAUGUGUGACCGACAAGAUUUAUCAAGUAAUAACAGACAUUUCGGACAACCCAUAGACCCAUUAGUCACACGCUGUUUGACAUCGUCUGAAAAUAUCAUUUUAAUCACAGGCCAGCUAGCAGCUCCUGCUCCUGCUCCUGCUGCUGCUCCUGCUGCUGCUGCCAUUCCAUCUGCUUGCCUCUGAAUGGCCAUUGUCACGGUCCAUCGCCCGGAUGGCCAGACUGACAAUGACCCGCACACACAUGCUCACGUAUGUAAAUUAUAUAUCACAUGUGAGUUAUGCUACUGGAAUAGAGCAAGUGAAGGCGACUCGCUAUGCUGCCUACCUCGGCAUUCUUCUCAAGCAUCAAGCAUCGACAUCUAUCCACUGAUUAUCCAAUUGACCUUUCUCAAUUACUAAUGAAGACGUGCGACCGCACUCUGUGUUGACUCUCCCAUUUUAGGUUAGGUUAGGUUAGGUUACAAAAUCCUUUCCAAUAUAUUCAAGUCAUUCUAGGAAACGGCAAUGCCAUGAAAAUUAACUGCACCGAACUCUUUACAGCCAUUCAGGCCUCAUUGACUCAGAGGAGCAACAUAAUCGAAUCGGAAGGAAUAAAAAAAAAA
Molecule: long non-coding RNA, 2436 nt
Organism: Drosophila mojavensis
Lineage: Eukaryota; Metazoa; Arthropoda; Insecta; Diptera; Drosophilidae
Exons: 5
Source: RefSeq, a predicted model, not a curated record